Long non-coding RNA from Bombyx mori (domestic silkworm), 375 nucleotides. RefSeq lists it as uncharacterized. The record is from RefSeq and is a predicted model, not a curated record. The transcript is spliced from 2 exons. NCBI's taxonomy places the organism in Eukaryota, Metazoa, Arthropoda, Insecta, Lepidoptera, Bombycidae.
AGGCUAGCUGUCAAUAAAAUGUGAAUACUUUAAACGUGCAUUCUUUUUUAAAAAAAUUUGAAUUCAAGUUCAUUAUUUUGGUUUAGAAUUUUCAUUAUUUUUGUGUGAAGUGAUUCAUGAUAUCCAUCAUAAAUUUUCAAUACUCACAAUCCAGAAAUGAUCGUGGUAACGACAACACAAUCCGAAUCGAAACACCACAGAUACAAUAUUGAUGUCAUGAAAAAGUUUGUUAUAAAAUUCUUACGACAGAUGGAUUAUGCGUUCCAGUUUUAAUAUCUUGUUUUGUCUAUGGUAAGCAAGCAGAAGAGAUUGUCUACCCGUUACUAAAAAAAACUAAGUCAUAGGUUUAAUAAAGUAGAGAUAUUAGAGAAAGGC